This 483-nucleotide ribosomal RNA is filed under the name uncultured bacterium. RNAcentral's name for it is "partial 16S ribosomal RNA". It matches the Rfam family "Bacterial small subunit ribosomal RNA", at positions 30 to 506 of the family's 1533-position model. The record is from RNAcentral.
AUUGAACGCUGGCGGCAGGCCUAACACAUGCAAGUCGAGCGGCAGAAGAGAGCUUGCUCCUGCUUUCAGCGGCGGAGGGGUGGGUGAUGCCUGGGAAUAUGCCUGUCUGCGGGGGCGAAGGUGCGGACGCGGGCGCACAUACGGCAUUAGUGCUGACGAAGAACGGGGGAGAGCAUCGGACCUUCGGAUAUCGCGUGAGCCUAUGUCGGAUUAGCUAGUUGGUGGGGUAAAGGCCUACCAAGGCGACGAUCCGUAACUGGUCUGCGAGGAUGAUCAGUCACACUGGAACUGAGACACGGUCCAGACUCCUACGGGAGGCAGCAGUGGGGAAUAUUGGACAAUGGGCGAAAGCCUGAUCCAGCCAUGCCGCGUGUGUGAAGAAGGUCUUCGGAUUGUAAAGCACUUUAAGUGGGAAGGAAGGGCAGUAGGUUAAUACCUCGCUGUUUUGACGUUACCAACAGAAUAAGCACCGGCUAACUUCGU